GCGGCAGGCCUAACACAUGCAAGUCGAACGGAUCCUUCGGGAUUAGUGGCAGACGGGUGAGUAACGCGUGGGAAGCUACCUUGUGGUAGGGAACAACAGUUGGAAACGACUGCUAAUACCCUAUGAGCCCUAUGGGGGAAAGAUUUAUCGCCAUGAGAUGUGCCCGCGUUAGAUUAGCUAGUUGGUAAGGUAAUGGCUUACCAAGGCGACGAUCUAUAGCUGGUCUGAGAGGAUGAUCAGCCACACUGGGACUGAGACACGGCCCAGACUCCUACGGGAGGCAGCAGUGGGGAAUAUUGGACAAUGGGGGCAACCCUGAUCCAGCCAUGCCGCGUGUGUGAUGACGGCCUUAGGGUUGUAAAGCACUUUCAGCAGUGAAGAUAAUGACAUUAACUGCAGAAGAAGCCCCGGCUAACUUCGUGCCAGCAGCCGCGGUAAUACGAAGGGGGCUAGCGUUGUUCGGAAUCACUGGGCGUAAAGCGUACGUAGGCGGGCUGAUAAGUUAGGGGUGAAAUCCCGGGGCUCAACCCCGGAACUGCCUUUGAUACUGUCAGUCUUGAGAUCGAGAGAGGUGAGUGGAACUCCGAGUGUAGAGGUGAAAUUCGUAGAUAUUCGGAAGAACACCAGUGGCGAAGGCGGCUCACUGGCUCGAUACUGACGCUGAGGUACGAAAGCGU
RNAcentral lists this ribosomal RNA (677 nucleotides) under bacterium T261. Its description in RNAcentral is "bacterial SSU rRNA". It matches the Rfam family "Bacterial small subunit ribosomal RNA", at positions 39 to 762 of the family's 1533-position model. The record is from RNAcentral.